This 253-nucleotide ribosomal RNA is filed under the name uncultured bacterium. RNAcentral describes it as "partial 16S ribosomal RNA". It matches the Rfam family "Bacterial small subunit ribosomal RNA", at positions 524 to 776 of the family's 1533-position model. The record is from RNAcentral.
GACGUAGGGCGCAAGCGUUGUCCGGAUUUAUUGGGCGUAAAGGGCUCGUAGGCGGCCUGUCGCGUCGAUCGUGAAAACUGGGGGCUUAACUUCCAGCUUGCGGUCGAUACGGGCAGGCUUGAGGUAGGUAGGGGAGAUCGGAAUUCCACGUGUAGCGGUGAAAUGCGCAGAUAUGUGGAGGAACACCGGUGGCGAAGGCGGAUCUCUGGGCCUAUCCUGACGCUGAUGAGCGAAAGCGUGGGGAGCGAACAGG